GCUUUCAUAGCUUAGUUGGUUAGAGCACCCGUUUAGUAAGCGGGAGGUCUUGAGUUCAAAUCUCAAUGAAAGCA
RNAcentral lists this transfer RNA (74 nucleotides) under Zingiber officinale. It matches the Rfam family "tRNA". From Rfam's summary of the family: Transfer RNA (tRNA) molecules are approximately 80 nucleotides in length. Lineage: Eukaryota; Viridiplantae; Streptophyta; Magnoliopsida; Zingiberales; Zingiberaceae. The record is from Rfam by way of RNAcentral.